This 482-nucleotide ribosomal RNA is filed under the name uncultured bacterium. Its description in RNAcentral is "partial 16S ribosomal RNA". It matches the Rfam family "Bacterial small subunit ribosomal RNA", at positions 30 to 507 of the family's 1533-position model. The record is from RNAcentral.
AUUGAACGCUGGCGGCAUGCUUUACACAUGCAAGUCGAACGGUAACAGGCCGCAAGGUGCUGACGAGUGGCGAACGGGUGAGUAAUGCAUCGGAACGUGCCCAGUCGUGGGGGAUAACUACUCAAAAGAGUAGCUAAUACCGCAUACGAUCUAUGGAUGAAAGCGGGGGACCGUAAGGCCUCGCGCGAUUGGAGCGGCCGAUGUCAGAUUAGGUAGUUGGUGGGGUAAAGGCUCACCAAGCCAACGAUCUGUAGCUGGUCUGAGAGGACGACCAGCCACACUGGGACUGAGACACGGCCCAGACUCCUACGGGAGGCAGCAGUGGGGAAUUUUGGACAAUGGGCGCAAGCCUGAUCCAGCAAUGCCGCGUGCAGGAAGAAGGCCUUCGGGUUGUAAACUGCUUUUGUACGGAACGAAACGGCUCUGGUUAAUACCCGGGGCUAAUGACGGUACCGUAAGAAUAAGCACCGGCUAACUACGUG